RNAcentral lists this long non-coding RNA (3197 nucleotides) under Canis lupus familiaris (dog). RNAcentral's name for it is "lncRNA (ENSCAFG00845021731.1)". Lineage: Eukaryota; Metazoa; Chordata; Mammalia; Carnivora; Canidae. The record is from RNAcentral.
ACGCAGUGCAGGGGUCGCCGCUGCCCGGGCCGGGAGGUGAGGCGGCUUUUUCCAGGAUUGAUGGUUGUUGCAGAAAUAGGGCUAUCUCGCGUUCACCUCCCUCUUCUCUUCUCAGGGAGAGCUCUGCUUUACAAGAAGAAACAGCAAAAUACAGAGUUCUUGGUACCUGAGCCUAUUGCACCUGCUGGUUUCUCUUGGAGGCAUGAAGUAUAUUGAUGCUGACAGUGAAAAAAAAAAAAUUGACCUGUCUAGCUGUUUUCCCUCCUUCUUUGCACUUUAAUUCUCUUGUUAGAACUAACGGCUGCCUAAUACGUUCAAUGUGCCGGCUCGUAAGACCCAGUGGAAGCACUAGCGUUCCUAAUGUACCAUAGAAGUGGAAAAUGUACAUUUUUCCUGCAUGGUAAGGGCCAUCUCUGUACAUAACUAUCUAGUGAGAUACCAAGUAAGUAAAAGAAACUAUUUAUAAUAUUUGAAGACCAUUCCAAAAAAUAUUUUCAAUAGCUCAUAUUAGCCAACAGUGUAGCACUAAACCCCAGGAGGGUUACUAAUGAAUGCUUUCUUUUUUUCUUUUUUUUCUUUCUUUUUUUUUUUUAAAGUUGCUUGUUUGUUCUCUUUAGUUUCAAAUAAGAGGUUGAUGCAUCUUGAUGCAUGAUAAGAAGCAUGGGUUGUCUGGAUCCUAACUGCAUAACGUGCAAUUUAUUUCACAGUGUUCACAAACUGAGGGUUUGAACUAAUACAUGUCAACUGCAAGACCUCAAGGUCUUGCAGAAGAAAAGGAAAAUAAAGGUUAACUUUCUUGGCUCAAAAACACAGUCUUGGAAGGUGGACUAAGCCCAGGAAAAAUCAGUGACAGCACCACACACAUCGUAGUUUCAGGCAAAACAAACAUGUGGGAAGGUCCAUGCGCUCUGCUUUGAAGCCCCCCAAAGUUUCCCAGGGGCGAAGAGGUCAUUCUGUGUGCACUUUCCCGGGAAGUUUGGACCAUUAUUUCUCUGACCCAAAUGUUCCAGGGGCACUGCAGCCAUUCUUACUAAAGAAAAAUGAGAGACCGAGGAAUUUCCAAAUGCUCCUCCCCUUUCUCGGAGAGCCCAGGUUUCCUCAACCCAGUGACAAAGGUUUCUGGGGUUUUCCUGUAGAAUGUUGUAAGCGCCCCCAGUGGUCAGCUAUAGGAACCAUCAAUUGCUAUGAUGACCUUUAGUGUUUUAUUGAAUUACACGCCCCUCCUGCUUACUAGAGUCCGAAACCUUGCUGGAACUGCAAGAGAGAGAACUCUACCUCCAGGGGUGCUCCUUUUGAUGACCUGCACCAUUUCUGUACCAUCUGGGAUAAGAAUGUGCAUUCUAAAAAACCUCAGUUUGGUCACAUUUAAAAUCGCCAAGAGCAACUUGUAGUGCUUUUGAUUGUUAAGGCACCCAUCCUCUUCUGCCUUUCAAGUGUGUAUUUAGUGUUGCACUGUGCACUCCCAGCUGUGUCUGCCUAUAUUCCAUUAUAUGAGACCCACUUCUAAGACUCAAAGGCAGGUCAGCCCCCAACAACCAAAUAGCAAAUUCUUAUAUUAUUGCAAAAUUAACCUAGAAAAUCAGAAGUAAAAAAGCCAAUUUCAUGCUUUCAGCUGAAUACCCACAUUUUGUACUGUCAAUGAAAUUACCUUGGAACUUUUAGGGGAUGCCUUUUGUUAUUAGCUAAGACAUCCAGUUUUGCUGCAGGGACAAAUCUCUUACUUAAGCCAAUAUAUUAUGUGACAGAUUUAGGCAUGAAGUAGAAUGUUGUCACUUUUCCUUAGCAUUUCUCUGAAGGAAUCUAAAGAGAGAAUUUUAAACUACUGUUGCAAUAUUUGCCAGUGGCUCUCACACAAAGCCCCCAGCACUGUUUGUUAGAUUUUUUUUUUUUUUUAAUCUUAAAGCACUGCUUAAAAACAAAUGAAACUCCUAGAACCUGGAUAACUUGGAAGAGAAUCCAUUCUGGAGUAUAUGAUGACAGACUAGCACCUCUUCUCUCACCAUAUUAUAAAACAUAUAGCCUUGGGUUGGCAAUGAUUGGGCCACUUUUUAAAUUCUCAACUAAAAAAAUAAUGUGAUAGAGGGCUUAUUCUCCCCCACCCCAUUAACUUUUAUUUUAAAAUAAAGGAUUUUAUUUAGCUUUUCUUUUAAAGUUCGAUUUUAUUCCCCCUGACAAAAAACUUUCUCUUUGCUUUAAAGACUUUUAAAAUCCAACCUGUGAAGUUUAUCAUUUUUUUUACUACUCUUGAAAUGGGAUAUACUAUAUAUGGGAUAUAUAUUACAUGGUGGAAUAAAUUAUAUGUUAUUUAUGGCUAGAGAAUAAAGCCAGGCUAAUGUCCACAGCCAGAAGGAAUAAAUGAACUCAAUUCACUUUCAUUUCAGCAAGAGAGCAGAUUGUAAGUUUAGAUAGUGACUUGAUUACAACGCCACUAUGUGAAUCCUGGUAAUAAGACUUGAGUCAAUGAAAUCUAAUCACAGUGUCAUUUUUCCAUGGCUGUGGGUGACUUAAAAUUAAGGCAGGGCAGAGAAAGAGUAGAAAACAACCAUUUUGUUAUAGGUAUAAACACAUGGAUGAUGAUUGAGAUAAUUAUUCAUUUUGGCUGCCACACAGCCUAAAAUUAACAUUAGGGUUGAUUGUACUUGAUCUCAUCUGCCCAAGAAAAAGAAGAGAUCUACUUGAUGUUGAGCUACUGUCUUUUGCACAGCCCAUGUCGUUUUUCCCUAGAAAAGCAGUUGUGAAAGAGCUGGCCGAGGUGCCCUAGCUCUGAGUCCAAGACCCAGAUGUCCACCUGCAAGCUGGGAAACCUUAGGCCAGUGCUAAAACCUCCUUGAGCCCAUUUCCUCAUCUGCAAAACGGAACUAAUCUUGAUUCCUGUGCUGCCUACCUCACAGGGCUGUCAUCAGGACAACAUGGGUUAGAGUGUAAACUGUAAUGUGCUGUCCAAAUGUGAGGUAACAUGAUUACCAUCCUCAGCUCUCUUUGGCAGAGAAUUAUUUAAAUGUAUUUCUUUGUUAUUUGUGUGUGUGUGACGGACAGACCCGUGUGUUACCUUGAGGAGCAUAAUAUUUGUGUCCAGUAACUGCAAAUCUGCUGACAUUUGUGAUUCUGACAGAGGGGUUUGUGCCGUGGCCUAACACUUGCCAGGUGGGGUGUGGGUUAUACCUAUAUGCAAAUUAAAUUUUGCCUUUCUUGAUUCU